This 386-nucleotide long non-coding RNA is filed under the name Nicotiana benthamiana. Its description in RNAcentral is "long non-coding RNA (NBEN_LNC037390)". Lineage: Eukaryota; Viridiplantae; Streptophyta; Magnoliopsida; Solanales; Solanaceae. The record is from RNAcentral.
UCAUAAAGAAAAGGUAAAUAACUUUCAAUGUUAUAUGAUAAUUCCUUUUUGCUGGAUAAAUUUGGGGUUUUCGUUUGCACAUUUUAAGGAUAGUAUGGCACCAAAUGCGAGCGCUAAAUAGUCAUGGAGCAUCUCGAGUAUUUGCUUUAGAGAGUGUUGUUGUAUAUCUCCUUAGUCACUCCGAUUCCAGUUGUUAAUGUAGAUUCUGAAGUCUUUUCUUAUCCUAUUCCUAGUCUCCAAUAUCCCACUAAUUGUUUUUAAGACCUUCCACUUUUAAAACUUCUUGUCACGAAACAAGAAAACUCAACCACUAGUUGUUAUUUUCUCUCUUAAUUGGUAGAAUAUUUUUAUUUUUGAUGUAAAUAUACAAGAGAAGAUAGAUAUCU